UGGCUCAGAUUGAACGCUGGCGGCAGGCCUAACACAUGCAAGUCGAGCGGAUGAAGGGAGCUUGCUCCUGGAUUCAGCGGCGGACGGGUGAGUAAUGCCUAGGAAUCUGCCUGGUAGUGGGGGAUAACGUCCGGAAACGGGCGCUAAUACCGCAUACGUCCUGAGGGAGAAAGUGGGGGAUCUUCGGACCUCACGCUAUCAGAUGAGCCUAGGUCGGAUUAGCUAGUUGGUGGGGUAAAGGCCUACCAAGGCGACGAUCCGUAACUGGUCUGAGAGGAUGAUCAGUCACACUGGAACUGAGACACGGUCCAGACUCCUACGGGAGGCAGCAGUGGGGAAUAUUGGACAAUGGGCGAAAGCCUGAUCCAGCCAUGCCGCGUGUGUGAAGAAGGUCUUCGGAUUGUAAAGCACUUUAAGUUGGGAGGAAGGGCAGUAAGUUAAUACCUUGCUGUUUUGACGUUACCAACAGAAUAAGCACCGGCUAACUUCGUGCCAGCAGCCGCGGUAAUACGAAGGGUGCAAGCGUUAAUCGGAAUUACUGGGCGUAAAGCGCGCGUAGGUGGUUCAGCAAGUUGGAUGUGAAAUCCCCGGGCUCAACCUGGGAACUGCAUCCAAAACUACUGAGCUAGAGUACGGUAGAGGGUGGUGGAAUUUCCUGUGUAGCGGUGAAAUGCGUAGAUAUAGGAAGGAACACCAGUGGCGAAGGCGACCACCUGGACUGAUACUGACACUGAGGUGCGAAAGCGUGGGGAGCAAGCAGGAUUAGAUACCCUGGUAGUCCACGCCGUAAACGAUGUCAACUAGCCGUUGGGAUCCUUGAGAUCUUAGUGGCGCAGCUAACGCGAUAAGUCGACCGCCUGGGGAGUACGGCCGCAAGGUUAAAACUCAAAUGAAUUGACGGGGGCCCGCACAAGCGGUGGAGCAUGUGGUUUAAUUCGAAGCAACGCGAAGAACCUUACCUGGCCUUGACAUGCUGAGAACUUUCCAGAGAUGGAUUGGUGCCUUCGGGAACUCAGACACAGGUGCUGCAUGGCUGUCGUCAGCUCGUGUCGUGAGAUGUUGGGUUAAGUCCCGUAACGAGCGCAACCCUUGUCCUUAGUUACCAGCACCUCGGGUGGGCACUCUAAGGAGACUGCCGGUGACAAACCGGAGGAAGGUGGGGAUGACGUCAAGUCAUCAUGGCCCUUACGGCCAGGGCUACACACGUGCUACAAUGGUCGGUACAAAGGGUUGCCAAGCCGCGAGGUGGAGCUAAUCCCAUAAAACCGAUCGUAGUCCGGAUCGCAGUCUGCAACUCGACUGCGUGAAGUCGGAAUCGCUAGUAAUCGUGAAUCAGAAUGUCACGGUGAAUACGUUCCCGGGCCUUGUACACACCGCCCGUCACACCAUGGGAGUGGGUUGCUCCAGAAGUAGCUAGUCUAACCGCAAGGGGGACGGUUACCACGGAGUGAUUCAUGACUGGGGUGAAGUCGUAACAAGG
Molecule: ribosomal RNA, 1480 nt
Filed under: uncultured bacterium
Lineage: Bacteria
Description: 16S ribosomal RNA
Rfam family: Bacterial small subunit ribosomal RNA
Source: RNAcentral